RNAcentral lists this ribosomal RNA (560 nucleotides) under uncultured Agaricales. Its description in RNAcentral is "eukaryotic LSU rRNA". It matches the Rfam family "Eukaryotic large subunit ribosomal RNA", at positions 1 to 556 of the family's 3401-position model. The record is from RNAcentral. Lineage: Eukaryota; Fungi; Basidiomycota; Agaricomycetes; Agaricales.
GACCUCAAAUCAGGUAGGACUACCCGCUGAACUUAAGCAUAUCAAUAAGCGGAGGAAAAGAAACUAACAAGGAUUCCCCUAGUAACUGCGAGUGAAGCGGGAAAAGCUCAAAUUUAAAAUCUGGUGGUCUUUGGCCAUCCGAGUUGUAAUCUAGAGAAGUGUUACCCGCGUCGGACCGUGUAUAAGUCUCCCGGAAUGGAGCGUCAUAGAGGGUGAGAAUCCCGUCUUUGACACGGACUACCGAGGCUUUGUGGUGCGCUCUCAAAGAGUCGAGUUGUUUGGGAAUGCGGCUCAAAAUGGGUGGUAAAUUCCAUCUAAAGCUAAAUAUUGGCGAGAGACCGAUAGCGAACAAGUACCGUGAGGGAAAGAUGAAAAGAACUUUGGAAAGAGAGUUAAACAGUACGUGAAAUUGCUGAAAGGGAAACGCUUGAAGUCAGUCGCGUUGGCCGGAAAUCAGCCUUGCUUUAGUGAGGUGUACUUUCUGGUUGACGGGCCAGCAUCAGUUUUGACCGGUGGAAAAAGCGAAAGAANGUGGCAUCUUCGGGUGUGUUAUAGCCUCU